Molecule: long non-coding RNA, 2332 nt
Organism: Nerophis ophidion (straightnose pipefish)
Lineage: Eukaryota; Metazoa; Chordata; Actinopteri; Syngnathiformes; Syngnathidae
Exons: 4
Source: RefSeq, a predicted model, not a curated record
UCUGGCCACCUGCCCUAAGACAGCUGUGUCAGGUUGGCAAUCACUGUUUGCUUUAAUAGCACCUCAGUGUAUGAGUCAUUGUGUGGCUGGCUCUCUGCUGGGAAAGGUCUGCUCCCAUCGGGCGGAACUCGCCCCUGCACCAUCUGUGAGCCUUUGGCCUCGCUCUCUUCAUCUCUCCUUCCAUCAAGGCACCGUCGGGACUCUGCAUGGCAGGGAUGUCCUCCUCCCUAAACCAAGACUAAGCUUGACCACACACACAAAAUGGCAGUCCUGGGGCUGGAGUUUCUCUGUCAAACCAAACCAAGAUGGCUGUCUCCAAGAAAAGCGAUAGGAGAUACGUUAAUCGUGUCCAGGUGGGCGAUCCACACACCUGAUCUCGUUUGUGGAGUCGCCUCGCCGCUCGCUCGCCAUCCCCGCCUCCUCGCCGCCAUUUUGGGACGGGCUCCAGCGUGCCCUGGCUGUCUGUCAGACCGUCGGCUCCGCCUCUCCACUCAAAUUCUUCUACUGCUUUAUUUGUUGCCAGAGUUUGUAAAAAAUUGACAAACAACAACAAAACAAAAUUUUUGACCUAUUCAGUCUAAAAUGGAUCAUAUACUGGUACUUCCAACAGUGCUGACACACCAACAAUUGCUGUUAUAUUAUCCUCUAUUUGACUAUUUAACUCUUUUUAAUCUAUUUGUAAUUUAUUGUUAAUAAUAGCUUACUUUCUGCUGUAACAUUGUCCUAUCUACACCUCUUAAAGUUUACUCCGCACUUAUUUUUUGAUGUUGUCUGAAACUUGCUUAUCAGUUAGCUUAGAUAUUACCUUAGCCACUAGCUAUUAUUAGCAUUCCUGUCAUGAUCCAUGGUCCAGAUCAUUUUUUUGUGUUUUCUGUUAGUUUUAGACUUGUUAAGUUCCUGCUUGUGCACCUCUGAGUUUGUUACCUUAGCUACUUAUUAUUUUCACCUGCCUCUUGUGUUCGGGACGCUCACCUGUUGCUCAUCAGAGCCAUUUUUUAAGCCUGCCUUUGCCGGUAACUCGUCCUGGGUUCUUUGUUUGCGUCACGCUCUUGUUUCGUAAGUUUUGCUUGUCUCCUAGCCCAUGUUAAGUGUUUAGCUUCAAGUGCGAUUGGCACGUUGUUCCGUUGGGUAUGUUUUCUGUUUUUGUACAUCUUUGAGUUUUUUCAAGAUUAAAUCAUGUUCCUGCCCGGAGUCGUCCGUUUGCAUCCCGGGAGAACAAACCGCGCAGUAAGCUACAACCCCGCCGUAACAAUUCUUUCUCCUGACAUGCUUUGUAUUUAACAAGCCUUUUCCUCCAGUGAUAAUGCUACAUGUUAAUGCUAGUAAUUUUCUGAGAAAUGCAGUGUAUGCCCAAAUGGAGGUGAUUAUCAUUAGCUUUGCGGCUCCACAAUGUGUAUGGCAUAGAAGUGGGAAUCUUUGGGCACCUCCCGAUUCCAAUUCAAUCCAAUCCACUUUAUUUGCAUAACAAAGUGCUGCACAACAAUAUUAAAAACAAUAUUACAUUUAUUAUCCUUAGCUCCACCAAUGACUGAAUUAAAAAAAUGAAACCAAUAUAAAAAAAUAUAAAAAUAAAUAUGAUUAAAAACGAUUUUAAAGUGUAAAACCAAUUAAAACAAAUAGAAAUUUAAAAAAACAACCUACAAUUUGAUUAAAAUGUAUUAUUGAUGCAUCUUUAAUAUAUGUAUAUUAAUACAGUUUCACGUUUAUUUUUGUUUCACUAAAUAAGCGUUUAUUACUUGCAACUUUUAAAAACAGUGCAUUUGUAAUAAGCAGAGUAUUCGCGGGGUCUUAAAAAGUCUUAAAUCCAAUAUUUUGAAUUUCCAUCCAUUUUCUACUUCUUAUUCCCUUUUGGGGUCGCGGGGGGCACUGGCGCCUAUCUCAGCUACGAUCGCUACACCCUGGACAAGUCGCCACCCUCACAUUCACACACUAGGGCCAAUUUUAGUGUUGCCAAUCAACCUAUCCCUGGGUGCAUGUCUUUGGAAUUUAAGGCUUUAAAAUGUCUAAAAUUUUCCUAAAAUCUAAAAAAAAAAAAGGUCUUAAAUACGAUUUUGAAAGGUCUUAAAAAUCUAUUGAUAUUACUUUUAUUUAAAACAUGCAUAAACCUCAGUCUCGCUUUGAAAUGUUUCCAUUUUUGAGGACGCCAUAACGUAACUACAAAGCGGAACUAAAUUCGCUGCCCGUUCACAAUUUAUAGUUUGGCAUUUUUUUUUAAUUCUGACUUCCAAACAAAUGUUGGUUCACAACAGAGAGGCAUUUGGUGUUUUUAGUUGGGUCAAGCGCUUUGUAUUCGGAUGUGAAAAAACUGUGAAUAAAUUCAUAUACUUUGCAA